RNAcentral lists this transfer RNA (90 nucleotides) under soil metagenome. It matches the Rfam family "tRNA". Rfam says of the family: Transfer RNA (tRNA) molecules are approximately 80 nucleotides in length. Their secondary structure includes four short double-helical elements and three loops (D, anti-codon, and T loops). The record is from RNAcentral.
GGAGAGGUGGCAGAGUGGUUGAUCGCGCUCGCCUCGAAAGCGAGUAACGGCUAAACCCGUUCGUGGGUUCAAAUCCCACCCUCUCCGCCA